GGGGCUGUAGCUCAGUGGCAGAGCAUCUGCUUGGGAUGCAGAAGGUCCUAGGUUUGAUACCUGGCAUCUCCA
Molecule: non-coding RNA, 72 nt
Organism: Gekko japonicus
Lineage: Eukaryota; Metazoa; Chordata; Lepidosauria; Squamata; Gekkonidae
Source: the annotation of a RefSeq genome assembly